UACGGCGGUCACAGCGUGGGGGAAACGCCCGGUCCCAUCCCGAACCCGGAAGCUAAGACCCACAGCGCCGAUGGUACUGCACCCGGGAGGGUGUGGGAGAGUAGGACGCCGCCGGAC
Molecule: ribosomal RNA, 117 nt
Filed under: Arthrobacter oryzae
Lineage: Bacteria; Bacillati; Actinomycetota; Actinomycetes; Micrococcales; Micrococcaceae
Source: RNAcentral